This 426-nucleotide small RNA is filed under the name uncultured Buttiauxella sp. RNAcentral's name for it is "cspA thermoregulator". It matches the Rfam family "cspA thermoregulator". Lineage: Bacteria; Pseudomonadati; Pseudomonadota; Gammaproteobacteria; Enterobacterales; Enterobacteriaceae. The record is from RNAcentral.
UCGGUUUGACAUACAGACCUUUCAAGCAGUCUAGUAAAGCAGUCCUCCAAGAGUUAUCCAUAGAUACCCUUCGACGUGCGCUUAUCCUUUCUCGCUUUAAAAAAUCUGUAAGCACACCUUUGCACUACGCCGAAAGGCAAACUUAAAUUAAAAGGUAAUAUCUAUGUCUGCUAAAAUGACUGGUCUGGUAAAAUGGUUCAACUCUGACAAAGGCUUCGGCUUCAUCACUCCUGACGAUGGCUCUAAAGAUGUGUUCGUACACUUCUCUGCUAUCCAGAACGAUGGCUACAAGUCCCUGGACGAAGGCCAGAAAGUGUCUUUCACCAUCGAAAGUGGUGCUAAAGGCCCAGCAGCUGGUAACGUAACCAGCCUGUAAGUUCUAGCCGAAAAGCAAGAAUUCUAAAAACCCGCCUCUGGCGGGUUUUU